Molecule: ribosomal RNA, 253 nt
Filed under: uncultured bacterium
Lineage: Bacteria
Description: partial 16S ribosomal RNA
Rfam family: Bacterial small subunit ribosomal RNA
Source: RNAcentral
UACAUGGGGUGCAAACGUUGCUCGGAAUUAUUGGGCGUAAAGCGCACGUAGGCGGUCCACUAAGUCGAAUGUGAAAGCCCUCGGCUUAACCGAGGAAGUGCAUCCGAAACUGGCGGGCUUGAGUACGAAAGAGGGUCGCGGAAUUCCCGGUGUAGAGGUGAAAUUCGUAGAUAUCGGGAGGAACACCGGUGGCGAAGGCGGCGACCUGGGUCGCUUCUGCCGCUGAGGUGCGAAAGCGUGGGGCGCAAACAGG